RNAcentral lists this long non-coding RNA (3264 nucleotides) under Hordeum vulgare. RNAcentral's name for it is "long non-coding RNA (HVUL_LNC000468)". Lineage: Eukaryota; Viridiplantae; Streptophyta; Magnoliopsida; Poales; Poaceae. The record is from RNAcentral.
CGCCGCCUCUCCGCUCCUCGCCCUCGACAUCGGAGGUAAACUCCUGGUACCACAGCUCCCCGGCUUCUUCUGUAUCCUGGUUCCGUCCUCGCUGGUCUUUAUGCGGAUGGAUGUGGCCUGUGAGCGGUGACAUUAACAUUCACAUCUGGAAGAUUUGGGGCAGCAUUUGCAGGCUUUGUUGGUUCUUCCUCGCGGAAUAUCUAAUAACCAUAUGUAAACUUUUAGUCAAACAAGCUAUUCCAACAAUUAUUUUUUCAAUAACCGGCAUAGUUGUUGUGAUAAUCAUCUGAUUUUAGUUGAUAAAAGUUCAAACAUAUGAACAGGAGAUCAUAAGACUUGACGGUUCAACAGGAUGCGGCAGAACAUCUAAAUUGACAAAUAUUGAGACAUGUCCUAUGCAUGUAUAUGAUAAUACUUCGUCAUGCAUUAAGAAAACAGAAGAACAUAGUCGAAUCUGCAUUGACCAUCCAUUCAAGCAAAUGAUGAUAUACAAGCUGAAUGAACUGUAACAGAAGACUGAAUGUACACAGCUUUCCUGCAGGGGAGACACAACACAACACACAUAAGUACCAUCAUGUGCCUGUUCUUGAGUCUUUGUCUUCCUGAAUCCCAUGACCAGCUUCCCUUCUGGAUCUAUUCGGCUGAAGUUUACUGGACAAUAUCACAUGGCAUCAGUUAUAAUAGCAAAACAAGUGGCCAUUUUCUUAAGAAAAAAGGUGCAUCGCAUAUGGAGAAGGGAAAAAAGACCAUUGCAGCUUUCAUCUAUUCCCAAAAUCCUUUUCAACCUAAAACUGUUUCGAUGUAAUCUCAGGUUCUUAAAACCAUUGACUUUACCCCUUUUGUCCCAUUCCAAAGUGGUUGUCAUUGACAGCGGUGGUCUUCACUAACAUGGUGGCCCUCCUGUCGAGGCCUGUCUGAAAGCAGACGCUCAAGGCCAAGCCAACAUAGCUCCAUUGGAAAAUACAGUAUGUAGGAUAGGGUGUCAAGGUACUAGCUAGGCUUGAUCAGCGGUUGUUACUUGCUCGUGAGCUAGGGUGUUCUUCGGAGCAUUCUGAAGUCUUUUGCUGUCAACUUUGUGGCUCAUGAUCGAUUCUAGGAAGAGGGGAAUCUAGAAUUUAACUGUUGACAGCGGUUAGCGGUAUUUGCAGUCACUCUUUUCUGGGAUGCAAACAUAGUGUUUUACUCUGUUUUCAGUGUGUCAAGUUUCAGUUUUUGCCCAACUCAAAAAUAAAAAGGUUUUAACUUCUUUUGUUUUAUGAUUUAGUUAUGUGUUGGAGUUUUAUCUUUGUCCUGGGUUAAAGUGUAGCAUUUUCAUGCCAGGGACAACAACAGGGUCAAGCAAAGAAAUCAUGACACUGAAGGUAUGAUUUUUUUCUCGUGUUACUACGUACCGAUGACCUUAUGGGUUUAUGACCCAAAAGAUGAAUACAUUAAUGCAAACGGAGACCAUUUAUGCAGUUCGCAAUUGGAAGUGCUCCUCUAUUUAUUUGUAGUAACAUGUAUGGCAUGCUUCACCUCUUCUUUAGCCAAAAUAUGAAAUUUCAAAUGAUACAUUCAUUAUGUGCGUUGCCGUGGACAGUUACAUGGGAUUUGAAUUAAUCCAUUACCAUUUUUUAUUACGUGCUCCUGUCAACAUCCACCAAAGUCAUUCUUACUAUUUACAAUUUAUUGUUAAAAAUAAUUCUUGAAAUUAAUUUUCAUGGACUCAUCCUAUCACUAAUAAAUACUCCUGAAGAGUUGCAGGAAUGAUUUUUUGUCACCAAGCGACAGAUUGUAACUGUUUGUGGCGCAUUUAGGAAACAUAGAUUUUGCCCCUAUAGUUGAAACUUAUGCAUACUUUCUUUGGGUAGUUUAUAUAAUAUAUGGUGUGGAAGAAUUGGAUGCACAUCCACUAUUUUCCCCCUCUGAAUUUACUGCAAUGCAUAUUUACCUGGAGCUAGCAUCACAUAUUGUAUGUCAAGUGCCAAGUCAGUUUUCACUAAAUACGAAUUAAAAAAAUAUAUGAAUCGUUUCAUUAGCUUUGGCUACACGUUUCGGAUAAUGCCAAUAUCAAUAUUUGCAAGUACUCCUAUGAACUCAUAUGAUGCAUCUCCCACUUUUUUAUUUGCGAGGUACCUGACAUAGCAGUGUUUGGAAAGAACUUAUUUCUGGUAGUAAUUUCUCCAUUAUGAAACUACUUUCGACUGCAGUAGCUCGAGGACAAUGUGGGCUACUACAAGACCAAGACAUGCAUUAAAAUAUGAUUACAUUUAGUAGUGAAUGGUAAAGAAGGUUAUGAUUUUCUUCAAAUUGCAAAUUAUUUAUUCAUGUUCAAAGAAUGUCCUCUAGAUGCUUAUGUAGAAAAUAGUUCAUCAUGCACAUUUUUCUCGACAAACUGGAACUUCCAGUUAUACUUGUUGUAUAUUUAUAGGUUGUAGACUUAUAGUUGAAAUUUUCAAAUGAUCAGAUAUUUUUGUAGUUGUAGUUCGAGAAGUGCCUAAAACUGAAGUAUGCACAUCUUGACUAGAAGCUAUACUCACUAGCUUGAUUUCUCCUAUGAGAUGUAGAAUAUUUAUUUCUGGAGUGUUGUUGUAGUUUCCUUUUUUGCCGUAGCUGCUUAUCUAUCAAAUUUAUUUUGUAGAGUAUCUAUGCAUGUGCGGGUUAUGUUUCACCCUGUGUCCUAUAAAUAAUAUGAAUUCUUUCAAUUAGUUCAUUGUUUUGGAACUUGGCCCAUGCCGCACGGCAUAGUUCCUCGACACCAGGUCAUUCCUGGAUUAUAACAACAUCGGGAGUCUGACCAUGUAGUCUACUUAUUCGUAGUGAACCACAUGUGCGAACCAUGUAUUCUAAACCCGAUCAACCGUAUUUCUCCGUAGGUCGACGAAAUAUGAGUCGGAGCAUGUCUUAGGUUGUGGAAAUGUGAGCCGAACUAGGAAGGAGUCUUAAGUUAUUAAGGACAUCUCUUUCCAUUUCUCUCGUUGCAACGCACGGGCAUUUUUACUAGUCUCUCCCUAAUAAUAAAGCAAAUACGGUUUCUGGUCGUCCGUCUUGAAAAUUACCCUAAAGUUUACAUAAAUUACCCACCAUGUCACCGGUAAGUAAUAGAAAACGAAAAAUCUUGACCUGGGCCGGCCCAUGUAAAAACGUCCUAUAUUACGCUCAGCACGCUGGGAGAAUAUCCAACACAUCGUAAGGGUCGGCCCAUGCACAGGCGUCUGCUUUUAGUUUCGUUUAUUUAUUUAUUUUCAGUUCCGUUUUACUUUUUUAUUUUAAAUAAUUUAGAAC